GCCGUGCUCUCAUUACUGUCAGUGGGAAGCAUUAAGCUGGGUUAUACUUAGCUACGUCCCCUCCAAGCAACUUCCUGUGGAUGAUGGGAGUGCCAGGGAGGACGCGUUCCUGAAAUAAUGACACAAGCUUUAAGGGAGACCAGGCCGCUGGACCAUGCAGUUGUCACCCUGCUCUGGCUGGAGAAAGAGGGGACAAGGGUGCUCACACGCGUGUGUCUGUCUGGAGGCGCUUGGAGGUCAGUGGGAGGACAGAGACUACACAGGAAGGAAAUAUUUGGAGCAAAACCUGGUGAAGGGAGUUGGGGUGCUCUGAUUCUGAGAAAACACCAAAAUCAAAUCUGAAAACAUCUGUCUGCUGCUACACAGCUGCAAGAGGAAAACUACAGCUGGGUGCAGAUAUCUGCUCUGAAAUUGCAUCUGAUCACUGAUAGAUGAUUUCCCUCGAAACAAUCACAAAGUAGCCACCAAAUUUUGACCCACAGCUCAGUGUGGUACAAGAAAAAACAAAACCACUCUUCAACAUAAAUCCUAUCUCCAAAUCUCCGGAGAAAUGAAAUUGGGUCCUGCUCUAUAGUCCAGGUGGGCCUUGAACCCACUGUGUAGCCCAGGCUGACCUCAGACUCAAGGUAAUCCUCCUGCCUCAGCUUCCCGAGGGAUGAGAUUGCAGGCAUGUGUCACCAAGCCCAACUUUUUCUUAUACUGUAUGUUUUAUGUCAAAAACCAAGCAAAGAAAUUUCUUUUACUUAAUCACUUACAAUAAAAUCCAA
Cavia porcellus (domestic guinea pig) is the source of this 767-nucleotide long non-coding RNA. RefSeq lists it as uncharacterized. The transcript is spliced from 3 exons. Lineage: Eukaryota; Metazoa; Chordata; Mammalia; Rodentia; Caviidae. The record is from RefSeq and is a predicted model, not a curated record.